Molecule: small RNA, 66 nt
Filed under: Arabidopsis thaliana (thale cress)
Lineage: Eukaryota; Viridiplantae; Streptophyta; Magnoliopsida; Brassicales; Brassicaceae
Description: ATSL269710
Source: RNAcentral
AUCUUCGAGAAGCAAGAAGAAGCUUGGUUAGUGUUUUGGAUUCGAAUAUGACUUGAUGUCAUGUCU